This 307-nucleotide unclassified non-coding RNA is filed under the name plant metagenome. Its description in RNAcentral is "partial contains 5.8S ribosomal RNA, internal transcribed spacer 2, and large subunit ribosomal RNA". The stretch from base 1 to 105 matches the Rfam family "5.8S ribosomal RNA", at positions 50 to 154 of the family's 154-position model. The record is from RNAcentral.
GAAAUGCGAUAAGUAGUGUGAAUUGUAGAAUUCAGUGAAUCAUCGAAUCUUUGAACGCACAUUGCGCCCUUUGGUAUUCCAAAGGGCAUGCCUGUUCGAGCGUCAUUUGUACCCUCAAGCUUUGCUUGGUGUUGGGCGUCUUGUCUCUAGCUUUGCUGGAGACUCGCCUUAAAGUAAUUGGCAGCCGGCCUACUGGUUUCGGAGCGCAGCACAAGUCGCACUCUCUAUCAGCAAAGGUCUAGCAUCCAUUAAGCCUUUUUUCAACUUUUGACCUCGGAUCAGGUAGGGAUACCCGCUGAACUUAAGC